UCAUUAGGUGGCACAAUCCUUACCUGUUUUUCUAUUCAGAGGGUAGAUAGAACAUGAUGAUUUGAGUUCACGAGUCAUGAAUAAUGUCUCUGCAUGAUUAGGGCUCAUAAUUAGAAAGUGUC
This 122-nucleotide small nucleolar RNA is filed under the name Sorex araneus (European shrew). RNAcentral's name for it is "U8 small nucleolar RNA (ENSSARG00000020182.1)". It matches the Rfam family "U8 small nucleolar RNA". Rfam says of the family: U8 is a member of the C/D class of snoRNA which contain the C (UGAUGA) and D (CUGA) box motifs. U8 is the RNA component of a small complex (the U8 snoRNP) which is required for accumulation of mature large subunit ribosomal RNAs, 5.8S and 28S rRNAs. The record is from RNAcentral. Lineage: Eukaryota; Metazoa; Chordata; Mammalia; Eulipotyphla; Soricidae.